CUUCGACACAUGGACCAUGAAAAUGUCAGUUUCUUUGCUGCUAUUGCUUCUGAGUUCUUAAUGUUAACCAAGUUAUAUUGCUUUCUAGAAGUGUCUUCUGUCUUUUGUUCUGAUAUGGAACAUCAAUUUUUCUAGUUCUAAACUUUAUAUUUUCCUUUUUAAUCCAUGAUUCAUUGGAUUAUUUAAUUGAAGCUUAUAUAUAUAUUGGUACGAGCAAGGUUUUGAAUUAAGGAUGUUACUAGUGCUUGUAGUAAGUUACCAAUUUUUUGUGGGGUUACCUUUUUCUUUUCUUUUAUCUCUCUCUCUCUCUCU
Molecule: unclassified non-coding RNA, 312 nt
Filed under: Hevea brasiliensis (rubber tree)
Lineage: Eukaryota; Viridiplantae; Streptophyta; Magnoliopsida; Malpighiales; Euphorbiaceae
Source: RNAcentral